Mirounga angustirostris (Northern elephant seal) is the source of this 4597-nucleotide long non-coding RNA. RefSeq lists it as uncharacterized. The record is from RefSeq and is a predicted model, not a curated record. Lineage: Eukaryota; Metazoa; Chordata; Mammalia; Carnivora; Phocidae. The transcript has 3 exons.
GGUGCUGCCGAUGGGGCUCGGGGCGGGGCGGGGUACCCCGAACGGCGGCCCUGCCCACUCGCCUGCCCGGCUUCCCGCGUCCGCGGUCGCAGGGAGCGCCCCGCCUGGGCACGGGCCGUGCCCGCCGGAGGAGGGAGGAGGCCGGCCGCCGCGGGAACAAUGUGGUCGGUUGUUUUGCCGACUGUCAGCCUCGUUCCCGGAUCCUCCUUUCCACGCCCCUUGGCCUAACCGCCACAGGCCCGGCACGCAGAGGGAAGAGCCCCCUUAUUUGGUCUUGGAAAGAAAGGGGAAAGGUUAUCCUCAGAUGCCUGCGGCGUUGGGUCAUCGGCCCGCAGUUGUUGGCCCGCACCCGGCUGCGGUGCCGUCUCCCGCCGGUAGGUGGCGGCGCCGGGCAGCGCCUCGCGGAGGCGCCCGAAGUGGUAAACAAGCCCCGCAGGUUCCGGUACCUCCGGCUCGGGGUCUUCUUUUGUGUGCGCGCUGGCCGGGGCGUGGGGGUGGUGGCCAGCGGCGGAGGAGGCAGGGGGCGGCGGAGGAGGGGGGGAAGAGCGCGAAAAGAAGAAAACAACGCCUUUUUUGAUGCGACAGUCAAACCUUCGAAAUCGGCUUCAGUGGAGGGUGUGACUUUGCCGUGUCGAUUUCAUGUGACCCAUUUGCUCGCGCACAGGCGGAUGCGGGCGUCAGUUUCAGGGUCCGCCCGGCGGUUGGGAUGCAGAUUCCUUGAGGAACAUCAGUCAGAUCAGCAAGACAGAAAUUACCCUCGCCAUUUUACACGUAGCUCCCAGAGGUUAAGGUCACACAGACCAAGCUGGGAUUUGAACCGUGGGCCUUCACACUUCAAAGCCAAGGCUUGUCCCAUAAUUAGGAGCACAAUGACCUCGCCAAUGAUUCCUCCGAAUAAAGCUCCUGUGAUAUGUAUGUUCUCCAAAGAGCUUUAAAAAGAACCAAAACAGGAGCGUGAUUUGAAUGUCUUCAGCAGAACAGAGCAAAAGCUUUACCACCUGUGGAGGCAAGUCGUAGGGGCCCUUUUGUUUGGCUAAGCGUCCCACCUGCAACUCUGCCCCUUCCCAUUGUUCAUUCCAUCUGCCUCCUGGGGAGAAGGGGGCAAUAAUUUUCACCCAGAAGACCAGUUUCGGGUUUCCUCAUCUGGAGAUAAAUUAAUUUUCCAAGGCACACAAUUAUAGGCAACUUUUCAAAGAGUUACUGAAGGGGCGCCUGGGUGGCUCAGUCGUUAAGCGUCUGCCUUCGGCUCAGGUCAUGGUCCCAGGGUCCUGGGAUCGAGCCCCGAAUCAGGUGCCCCACUCGGCAGGGAGGCUGCUUCUCCCUCUCCCUCUGCCCCUGCUUGUGUUCCCUCUCACGCUAUGUCUCUAUCUGUCAAAUAAAUAAAUAAAAUCUUUAAAAUAAAAAAAAGGUUACUGGAAUGAUAGUUUCAUGCUUAGAUUAACUGGUGCCAGGUUUUCUUUUUCGUUUUUUUUUUUUAAUAAAGAAAGUUUGUGUGAAUAAAGUUAAAUCCAAGAAAUGUGUUUUUUUUCUCUCUCUCUUUUUCAUGAAAUUGUAAAAAAAAAAAAAAGAGAGAGAGAGAGAAAAGAGAAAGCUCCUUCCAGUUUUGGGGGGUUUCCAGGUUUCCAAGAAUUUACUUAGUAGCUUGCUACACAGUAUAUUUCUGUGGAAAAAUUACAGCAAGACCAUCUUAUAGAUCAUUACUUUCCAGUCAUUGUUUUAUUGGUCCCCAGCUUCAAUGAGAACAAGCACUGUCUGGGUUUGCCCUGACCUCCAGAGCUCAAGUCCUCAUUACAGAAGCCAGAGAGGGUCCUUGGCAGGAUCAGGAAUGUGGCAGGGACUCCACACCACAGUCUUUCUGGGAGGGGAAGUUAUAACUGAGUCCUUAAUGUCUCAUCGUCUCAGGGACUGCCCUGUUUAGAGGGGGAGUGGCACCCAGCCACCCAGCACAGCCCACAGCCCUGGAAAGAGUUACCCAGCCUUGGCCACACUCCUUAAUCUCCGUGCUCCAGCUGUUGGGAGGAUUGGAUGAUUUCUUUCAGCGAAGAGCUGAAAACAGUGGCCCAUGGGGAGCACAUCUCCCAGGGUAGUUGGGAUGGGGUGGGGGAGAUUAAAUGAAAUAAUGUUGUAAAACCCUUAGCCCAGAGCCUGGCACCCAGAAAGGAAUCAAUAAAUGUCUGGUGAGCAGCAUAAUCAGCUACCUCUUUUUGAGUGCCAGCUAGAGGGAACAGAUUACUUAAGGCUCUUUAUGUACGCACGUGAAUCCUUAUGGAAAACCUAGGAUGUGAAAAAAGUUAUUGUUCAUACAGGGAAUUCAGAAUCAGGUUAAGCAAAUGACCCAAAGUCAUACAACUAGUAUGUGGCAGGGCCAGAAUCUGUCUGAUUCUGUGUCAUUUUGAUUAUGGGCAGCCCGGAAGGAAAGAAGAGAUCACAAACAGUCCUAUGUACUGAACUAAAGGGUUGUUAUAGGAGAAGUUCCAACUGCCUCCUCGAUAUGAAUAAUUGCUACUAUCCCUGUCUUUGGGGUGGCUGUGGAAGACCAUCAUGUAGGGCUGAUUAGACCUAUAGAUAUAAGAACCAGUCACCUUUGGGUCUCCUGAUUGUCAUCUGCCUAAAUUCCCAAAGCCUCUUGGAACCCUUUUAAGGGCAGAGCAGAGAUGGCUCUAUGUACUGGUUAGGACUCUUUCUGUUUUUGCAAAACACAGAAACCCAACCCAAACUGAGUUAAGCAAAAAGAGAUACAGUUGGCUCAUGCAACUGAUAAUGGAAAGAGGAAGGCUUCAGGCCUGGCUUGAUCCAGGGUUCAACAAUAUUAUCUGGACUUGGCCUUCUUUAUAUCUCAGCUCAAACUUCCUCCACGUUGGCUUUAGUCUCAGAUUGCCUCUCUCACUGACCCUUUUUGGCCCUCAUUGAUCAGGCCUAGGAAAACUUGGGUCCCUAAAAGAAAAGUCAUGGUUUCUUUUAUUAAAAGAGGCUAGGGUUGCCAGUUAGGCAAGAGUAACAGAUGUUCACUCUUCCCUAAGUGGCACCAUCCAAUCAGAAAGACGGUAGAGAAAAAACCUUAAUGGUGAACAUUUUUGCAGCAAAGGAUCUUCAGUAGUCAAGAAGCAGAGGAGAGGUAACUAGAAAUGUUUCCAGUUACACACAGGACCUAGGAUUCCCCUGUUUCAAGUCAGGCUAGCUGACUGUAAAUGAUAGAGUAAAAACCUUGAUGUCAUAAGGAUUGUGUCUGAAGAUCUUUAGAAAUCUUCAUUGUCCUGCUAUAGCAAAAUGCUUUAACAAUAUAAUGUAUAAUAAUAUAAACAUAAUUAAUAUAUAACAAAAUGCCAUGACAUAUGUACUGUUAUAUUGAUCUAUAAAUUAAUGUACAAAUGCAAUAAAAACCUAAUGAUCUUCCUGGACUAAAGAUCUCUGUAGACCCUUAAUGAGAGUUACCUCACACACAACUAUAAAUAAAACGUUACAAAUCUACACUGAGGGUGGAUACCAGGCUGUUGACUCAGUGUGGUCACAAGCUGCGUGAUGCUUUGUUCCUUGCACCAAUCUAAUGCAACUCAAAUCAAACUGGCAAAUUAUUAGAUGUCACGGGCCUCUGGUCACUUCUCAAACAGUCAAGCUUAAGGAUGUCCCCUGGACAAAUGCCAAAGUGCUGCUUUUCUGUCAUUACAUUUGCGAUGGAGGCAUGUUCUAUAUUCAGGAGGUGCUCCUGGGCACUCAAGAGUGGGAUUGGGAAGUGGGCAAGCUCCCCCUCUCCUGCCUGGGGUGUGGCUCCCGGCACCCAUAUUUUCCCCCAGGUCCUCGUGUCCACGCUUCAUCCUGCAUUGUCCCCGUCACUAGGGUGGAAAGUUUGGAUCCCAUUUAGAGGCGGGCACUCAACAUGAAAUUGUCCUUGAUGUCAAUCAAGGCUGUCCAUUUGUCCAAAGACACUCCAAUGUCAUGUCCCAUCCUGUGAGCAGGGAGCAGGUAAAAACCAGCCUGAACAGGUGUUUGUAUCUCCAGAAUGUGCCCUCCCUUCUGUUGGUCUCUGCUGACUCUCCAGCCCUGAGCAGUCAGUUUGCUCCCCCAGUGUCCCUCCUGUGCAGGUCUGUCAUAGACUUUAGGACACUAACACAGGUUGCCAGCUACUGAGCAGGACUAUAGACUGAGUUCUUUCACACCUGAUUUCACUUUGUCCUCCAGCAGCCUGAGAGGCCAACAUUAUAGCUUCAUUCUCCGCAGACGGAACUGGAGCUAACAGAGUCCCCUUGUCACUCGCCCCAAGUCAUGCAGAGAGGAAGUGGGUAAGACCAGAUUUCGUCCCGCGCCCAGGUAAUCCAUGUUUUCAGUUAUCCAGUAGUUACUGAGUAUUUACCAGGUGCCAGGCCAAGUGCUUUGGCCUGUGCUUUCUGUGAGGAGCAAGCCAGACUGGAUGUUGGCCUCGGUACGUUUGGUCCUUUGGAAAGAUGGACAUUGAACAGAGCAAUCAUAAAGCAUAUUAGUUCAAAUUACACAGGGGGCCAUGGAGGAGAGGUACCUAGUGCUGAAUUGUGUGUACUGGGGGAUCUAUCUUUGCCUGGGGUCCCCCACAAGCUGCCCCUGUGACCGGGUUUGGAUGCAAGUA